UAGGGAAUAUUGGACAAUGGGUGAGAGCCUGAUCCAGCCAUGCCGCGUGCAGGAAGAAGGCCUUCUGGGUUGUAAACUGCUUUUGCCGGGGGAUAAAAGGCCCCUGCGGGGGACAUUGAAGGUACCCGGUGAAUAAGCCACGGCUAACUACGUGCCAGCAGCCGCGGUAAUACGUAGGUGGCAAGCGUUGUCCGGAUUUAUUGGGUUUAAAGGGUGCGUAGGCGGCCCCGUAAGUCAGUGGUGAAAUACGGCAGCUCAACUGUCGAGGUGCCAUUGAUACUGCGGGGCUUGAGUAUGGACGAGGUAAGCGGAAUUGACGGUGUAGCGGUGAAAUGCUUAGAUAUCGUCAAGAACACCGAUAGCGAAGGCAGCUUACUAGGCCAUAACUGACGCUGAGGCACGAAGGUGCGGGGAUCAAACAGGAUUAGAUACCCCUGUAGUCCCUGAGCGGGCUGGCAAGGCGCAU
This 466-nucleotide ribosomal RNA is filed under the name uncultured bacterium. RNAcentral's name for it is "bacterial SSU rRNA". It matches the Rfam family "Bacterial small subunit ribosomal RNA", at positions 355 to 825 of the family's 1533-position model. The record is from RNAcentral.